UGACAAAAUUCUGUCAUCUUACUCGAAGAGCAGAGGGGGAAAUCCAGACAUCCAGUGGAUGCUGAGGCCUCCUUAAUUGUGCUCCCUGUGAUUAAACAACUCUUUGAAGACAUCAGUAGAAGUUAUUUCGUCCAUGUGGGAAUGUCGCUUCCCAGAUGAUCAAGCAAAAGGGAUACGGAAAACCUGAAGACCUGUUCCACUCACUGCUGCAUGGCUAUGUCUAACCUGAGAGCAUAGGAUAACUCUGGUGUACUCCUGAUGAGGCUGAUGCUCUACCCACAGCUGAUCAUU
Molecule: long non-coding RNA, 291 nt
Organism: Pogoniulus pusillus (Red-fronted tinkerbird)
Lineage: Eukaryota; Metazoa; Chordata; Aves; Piciformes; Lybiidae
Exons: 3
Source: RefSeq, a predicted model, not a curated record